UCAAAAGAGAAGGAUAUUAAACCCUCAUCCCCAGCCCCCAAGCCGGAAUCUUUUAUUAAAC
Molecule: transfer RNA, 61 nt
Filed under: Emys orbicularis (European pond turtle)
Lineage: Eukaryota; Metazoa; Chordata; Testudines; Emydidae
Description: partial tRNA-Pro
Source: RNAcentral